AACGAACGCUGGCGGCAUGCCUAACACAUGCAAGUCGAACGAGACCUUCGGGUCUAGUGGCGCACGGGUGCGUAACGCGUGGGAACCUGCCCUUAGGUUCGGAAUAACUCCCCGAAAGGGGUGCUAAUACCGGAUAAUGUCUUCGGACCAAAGAUUUAUCGCCUUUGGAUGGGCCCGCGUUGGAUUAGCUAGUUGGUAGGGUAAAAGCCUACCAAGGCGACGAUCCAUAGCUGGUCGGAGAGGAUGAUCAGCCACACUGGGACUGAGACACGGCCCAGACUGCUACGGGAGGCAGCAGUGGGGAAUAUUGGACAAGGGGCGAAAGCCUGAUACAGCAAUGCCGCGUGAGUGAUGAAGGCCUUAGGGUUGUAAAGCUCUUUUACCCGGGAUGAUAAUGACAGUACCGGGAGAAUAAGCUCCGGCUAACUACGUG
This 433-nucleotide ribosomal RNA is filed under the name uncultured bacterium. RNAcentral describes it as "partial 16S ribosomal RNA". It matches the Rfam family "Bacterial small subunit ribosomal RNA", at positions 29 to 507 of the family's 1533-position model. The record is from RNAcentral.